Long non-coding RNA from Mus spicilegus (steppe mouse), 2318 nucleotides. The record is from Ensembl. Lineage: Eukaryota; Metazoa; Chordata; Mammalia; Rodentia; Muridae.
UAGGCAGACCUUUGCCUUGUGCGAGGCUGCUGGGAGAGCGAGCCAGCGGCCUCGGACUGGUGCAAGCCGCCGAGCGCCGCUCUGGAAAGCCGCGCAGCUGGGGCAGCGCGUUUUUAUCCCGCCCCAGGCCUGUCUGUGCAACUUUCGCGUUAACCCGGGCAAAAGGGAGGAAGAUCGACGAGCGGGCUGGUGCUGGGGAGUCCUUUCUAAGUAGUAAUUAGAGCCCGGGAGGAGUGGGGGUGCAGCGGUGGGAGUUGGUGCUUAGCCUUCUGCUCUGCUUUUAACGGUAAACUCUGGAGCAGGACCCAGGGCCCGCUGCAGGGAUCUGCCGGGAGACAGAACAUCCUGCCUCCAAUUCCCAAGGCGCUGGAGGACUUGCCAGCAUCCGCGCCGCGCCUGCCUGCGAGCAGGAGUUCAAAUCUCCAACCUGCGGAAGAAUUCAGCUGCUUGAAAGGACUUAAGGCAGUGUGCGGAGGACAUCUCCUUUCUCCGCCAGUAAAGAGAGGUGACCUUCUGUUCCUAUUUAAUUUCACAUUGGUUUUUGUUUGUUUGUUUUUGUGGGGUUUUUCUUUCUUUCUUUCUUUCUUUCUUUCUUUCUUUCUUUCUUUCUUUCUUUCUUUCUUUCUUUCUUCUUCUUCUUCUUCUUCUUCUUCUUCUUCUUCUUCUUCUUCUUCUUCUGUUGCUUUUAGAAGAUUCUUCGCAGCCUGUAGGGUGAUACUCUCAAGGGAAUAAUUAAGUUUCCAGAUUUCUUUCCGAUGGAUGUGUGGCUACCUAGGUUAAGAACUCCCUCCCCCAGGGGUACCCUAGGCAUAGGACGCUAAGUGUCUGCGCCUGGCGGUGGUGGCGACGAGGAGGCAUCGCGUGAACAUCAGAACUUAUUGUGAUGGGACUCCACUGACGGUUAAUGCCAGCAGAUCCUCCCUAUUUUGUCGUUCCAGAACUGCACCCCCCCCCCCCCACCUCCCCACACCCCGCGCGCCUCCUCUGCUUGUAGCAGAUCUAGCAGCUCAGGGGCUCCAGAAACCUUGGCUCUCUAAGGUUUUAGCUCCAAAUUGGGGAAGGGGGGAGGGUGGGAGGGCUCUCUCUGGUCUCACGGUCAUUGACACGGUUCUUCUUACUGACCAAGUCAGGGAAGAGACCGCCUGUUUGCUUGCCAGUCUCUGCCUGAAAUGGUGCGUUGAAGGUGUCUUGGGUAGACUCCUUUGGCUUUUGAUUCAGCUUGUUCUUUUUCACUGUUCAAAGCAGCUGUUCAAAGACCGAGGCUGCUUACGAUGACGUGGAGAGGAUUUCAAACAACCUUAACAGGCUUUGAACUGACAAGAAGCGGUGAUAUCUGCCUCACUCUGGCACAGCUCCUCCAGUGCACUUGCUAGNNNNNNNNNNNNNNNNNNNNNNNNNNNNNNNNNNNNNNNNNNNNNNNNNNNNNNNNNNNNNNNNNNNNNNNNNNNNNNNNNNNNNNNNNNNNNNNNNNNNGAGAGAGAGAGAGAGAGAGAGAGAGAGAGAGAGAGAGAGAAACUGUGCGGGGCUUUGAAAAGCGGCAGCCUCUUGAUUCAAGAAUCCCCAAAUUAUCCCCUUAGUAGAGCAGUCCAAGCUCUGGAACUUAAACUCUGCUUGUUAACUAGCAAACACUCUCACUUCAUAAAUACAUAAAAUGUUGUUUAUGUAUUUCUUUAUGCUAGAAAUUGACCGAAGGUAUACCUAACCAUUUUUGUACACUGAACUGAAAACACUGAAACAGGAGAGAUGACAGUCAUUUGAUAGAUUUACAUUUUGCUUCGUUAUUCGUUAUGCAAUCUCAGUAAAGUAGAAAUCAGGUAACAACAGAAAACAAAAGGGAUUUUCUUAGAUGGUCAUUGGAAGAGUAAAAGUGACAACUGGCUUAAAAUUAUGUAAAGGCGAUCAUUGCUUUAAAAAAAAGGUACAUCCACCUUGGGUGGGAUUAUCCUCCUCCUCCUCCUCCUCCUCCUCCUCCUCCUCCUCCCCCUCCUCCUCCUCCCCCUCCUCCCCUCCCCUUUCUUUCUGCCCUUCUAGUGCCAGCAGCUGCUUGAUGGAGACCUCUUCUCCCCACAUCUGAAUGGAACGUCUUUGCCCAGAGUCUACAGAAUGUCAAAACUGAGGCUCCGACCUCAGAGCUACAGCUUUAAGGACCACUCCACACAAAGAGGCAGCUGGUUGCUUUAAUGAAAACUGCCUUUAAGCUUCAAGAACUGAGGCCUUGGGGAAUCCAUUUAUAAGGAGCCUAGAAAAUGCAUUUCCAAGUUGUAUGUUCUUAGGAGAUACAAAAUAAAAUUUACCUGAAAAAAUUAAUUGUAAUUAAG